UAGAGUUUGAUCCUGGCUCAGAACGAACGCUGGCGGCGUGGAUAAGACAUGCAAGUCGAGCGCUGGUUACGGGGUAGCAAUAUCUCGUAAUCGGAGCGGCGCAAGGGUGCGUAACACGUGGGUAAUCUGCCAUGAAGUUUGGGAUAACUUGCUGAAAGGCGAGCUAAUACCGGAUGUGAAAGUUGGAAGGCAUCUUCUGAUUUUCAAAGUUGGGGACCGUAAGGCCUGACGCUUCAUGAUGAGCCCGCGGCCUAUCAGCUAGUUGGUAAGGUAACGGCUUACCAAGGCUAAGACGGGUAGCUGGUCUGAGAGGACGACCAGCCACACUGGAACUGAGACACGGUCCAGACACCUACGGGUGGCAGCAGUCGAGAAUUUUUCACAAUGGGCGCAAGCCUGAUGGAGCGACGCCGCGUGGGGGAUGAAUGGCUUCGGCCCGUAAACCCCUGUCAUUUGCGAACAAGUUGGUUCAUUUAACACCUGAACCAUUGAUAGUAGCGAAAGAGGAAGGGACGGCUAACUCUGUGCCAGCAGCCGCGGUAAUACAGAGGGUCCAAGCGUUGUUCGGAUUCACUGGGCGUAAAGGGUGCGUAGGUGGUGAGGUAAGUCGGAUGUGAAAUCUCCGAGCUCAACUCGGAAAUGGCAUUGGGAACUACCUUGCUCGAAGGUUUGAGGGGGGGACUGGAAUACUUUGGUGUAACAGUGAAAUGCGUAAAUAUCAAGGGGAAACACCAGUGGCGAAAGCGAAUCCCUUGGAAACUCCUGAACCUGAGGCCCGAAACCUAGGGGACCAAACGGGAAUAAUACCUGGGUAGUCUAACCCGAAACGGGGCCAGUUUGCUGAAAAAGGAAUCAACCCCUUUUUGGGCGAAACCACCGCG
This 881-nucleotide ribosomal RNA is filed under the name uncultured Verrucomicrobiota bacterium. Its description in RNAcentral is "bacterial SSU rRNA". It matches the Rfam family "Bacterial small subunit ribosomal RNA", at positions 1 to 859 of the family's 1533-position model. The record is from RNAcentral. Lineage: Bacteria; Pseudomonadati; Verrucomicrobiota.